This is a non-coding RNA of Triticum aestivum (bread wheat), 124 nucleotides long. The record is from Rfam. NCBI's taxonomy places the organism in Eukaryota, Viridiplantae, Streptophyta, Magnoliopsida, Poales, Poaceae.
AUGGUACUCCCUCCGUCCAGAAAUACUUGUCAAAGAAAUGGUAGAUAUAGAUGGAUCUAGAGCUAAAAUACGUCUAGAUACAUCCAUUCCUCUGACAAGUAUUUUUGGAUGGAGUGAGUACAAA